Molecule: ribosomal RNA, 425 nt
Filed under: uncultured bacterium
Lineage: Bacteria
Description: bacterial SSU rRNA
Rfam family: Bacterial small subunit ribosomal RNA
Source: RNAcentral
UCGAGAAUCUUCGGCAAUGGGCGCAAGCCUGACCGAGCGACGCCGCGUGGAGGAUGAAGGCCUUCGGGUUGUAAACUCCUGUCAGGGGGGAGGAAAUCCAGGCAGGCUAUCCUGUCUGGUUGACCUAUCCCCAGAGGAAGCACGGGCUAAGUUCGUGCCAGCAGCCGCGGUAAGACGAACCGUGCAAACGUUGUUCGGAAUCACUGGGCUUAAAGGGCGCGUAGGCGGUUUGCUAAGUCGGUGGUGAAAUACUUCGGCUCAACCGGAGAAUUGCCGCUGAAACUAGCAGGCUGGAGGGAGGUAGAGGUGCACGGAACUUCCGGUGGAGCGGUGAAAUGCGUUGAUAUCGGAAGGAACGCCUGUGGCGAAAGCGGUGCACUGGACCUCUUCUGACGCUGAGGCGCGAAAGCCAGGGGAGCAAACGG